GCCAGGAUGGCUGAGUGGACUAAAGCACGAGACUGUAAAUCUCGCGCCGUAAGGCUUCCUAGGUUCGAAUCCUAGUCCUGGCA
Molecule: transfer RNA, 83 nt
Filed under: Candidatus Gottesmanbacteria bacterium
Lineage: Bacteria; Candidatus Gottesmaniibacteriota
Description: tRNA-Tyr
Rfam family: tRNA
About the family: Transfer RNA (tRNA) molecules are approximately 80 nucleotides in length. Their secondary structure includes four short double-helical elements and three loops (D, anti-codon, and T loops).
Source: RNAcentral